UACGAGGGGUGCAAGCGUUGCUCGGAAUUAUUGGGCGUAAAGGGUAGGUAGGUGGUCUCAUUUGUCUGGGGUGAAAUCCUUGGGCUUAACCUAAGAAGUGCCCCAGAAACGGUGAGACUAGAGUACUGGAGAGGGUCGUGGAAUUCCCGGUGUAGCGGUGAAAUGCGCAGAUAUCAGGAAGAACACCCGUGGCGAAGGCGGCUCUCUGGGACGGUACUGACGCUGAGACGCGAAAGCGUGGGGAGCGAACAGG
This 253-nucleotide ribosomal RNA is filed under the name uncultured bacterium. RNAcentral describes it as "partial 16S ribosomal RNA". It matches the Rfam family "Bacterial small subunit ribosomal RNA", at positions 524 to 776 of the family's 1533-position model. The record is from RNAcentral.